AGUGAACGCUGGCGGUAGGCCUAACACGUGCAAGUCGAACGGCAGCACAGUAAGAGCUUGCUCUUACGGGUGGCGAGUGGCGGACGGGUGAGGAGUACAUCGGAAUCUACUUUUUCGUGGGGGAUAACGUAGGGAAACUUACGCUAAUACCGCAUACGACCUACGGGUGAAAGCAGGGGAUCUUCGGACCUUGCGCGAUUGAAUGAGCCGAUGUCGGAUUAGCUAGUUGGCGGGGUAAAGGCCCACCAAGGCGACGAUCCGUAGCUGGUCUGAGAGGAUGAUCAGCCACACUGGAACUGAGACACGGUCCAGACUCCUACGGGAGGCAGCAGUGGGGAAUAUUGGACAAUGGGCGCAAGCCUGAUCCAGCCAUACCGCGUGGGUGAAGAAGGCCUUCGGGUUGUAAAGCCCUUUUGUUGGGAAAGAAAAGCAGCAGGUUAAUACCCCGCUGUUCUGACGGUACCCAAAGAAUAAGCACCGGCUAACUUCGUG
RNAcentral lists this ribosomal RNA (492 nucleotides) under uncultured bacterium. RNAcentral describes it as "partial 16S ribosomal RNA". It matches the Rfam family "Bacterial small subunit ribosomal RNA", at positions 29 to 507 of the family's 1533-position model. The record is from RNAcentral.